AGGUGUGCUGUGGCAGCUCUGUGGGAAAGCUGCUCUGAGUGCCUGUGAGUGGCUCUGGCAGAGGGCUGAGCAUCUCAGGAGGGAUUUACAUACUGUCAAAGCUUCUCAAGCCUUGGAAAUGAGAAACUGUGGAUGGCAGCAGUGGAUUCUUCUGGAAGUCCUGCAGGGUUGGCUGCAUGCUCCCUGGCUGGCAGAGGACCCUGGAGAUGAGAGAACCAAUAUUGCUGCGAAGGUUAUUCCUAGCACAGGAGCAGUUAAGAAUCUGUCUGCACACAAAUGACGAAUUAUUGUAAUCUGAACAAAGAAUGGGGCAGUAA
Molecule: long non-coding RNA, 317 nt
Organism: Lagopus leucura (white-tailed ptarmigan)
Lineage: Eukaryota; Metazoa; Chordata; Aves; Galliformes; Phasianidae
Exons: 3
Source: RefSeq, a predicted model, not a curated record